RNAcentral lists this ribosomal RNA (370 nucleotides) under uncultured bacterium. RNAcentral's name for it is "bacterial SSU rRNA". It matches the Rfam family "Bacterial small subunit ribosomal RNA", at positions 527 to 896 of the family's 1533-position model. The record is from RNAcentral.
GUAUGGUGCAAGCGUUAUCCGGAUUUACUGGGUGUAAAGGGAGCGUAGACGGAGUGGCAAGUCUGAUGUGAAAACCCGGGGCUCAACCCCGGGACUGCAUUGGAAACUGUCAAUCUAGAGUACCGGAGAGGUAAGCGGAAUUCCUAGUGUAGCGGUGAAAUGCGUAGAUAUUAGGAGGAACACCAGUGGCGAAGGCGGCUUACUGGACGGUAACUGACGUUGAGGCUCGAAAGCGCGGGGAGCAAACAGGAUUAGAUACCCUGGUAGUCCACGCCGUAAACGAUGACUACUAGGUGUCGGGCAGCAAAGCUGUUCGGUGCCGCAGCAAACGCAAUAAGUAGUCCACCUGGGGAGUACGUUCGCAAGAAUG